AUUUACAAUGAAUAAACUCCAGUCAUCCUCUUUGCGUGGGAUCUCAGGCUAUUUGUUUACUUUUUUUAUAUAAUUUGCUAUAAAUGCAGCAGCUUAAUUCACUGAGAGACUGCAGACAUCUUAAACUGAAAUCUCCAGUCGGUGGAGAAGCAGGACUGUUGUCUUCCUAUACUUGCUAAGCAAGAGGACCACUUCUGAUACUGAGGAAGCCACUUGGCCACUGCUCUCAGUCACUUUUAGUUCCUGUAGGCUUGGCUGACAAAAAUUUCUUCAGAUCUACUGGAAUUAAGAGAUCUAAGGAAGCAAGUGGUAUGUAUGUUUGCAUACCAUCCCAUCACAGUCUCAGCUGAAUAGGACAAAUCUCAAAUAAGGCCAAAGAAUACAGAUGACACCAAUCAGAGUGAAAAAAGAUGAGAAAGAAUUUAGAUUCUGAGUCUGAAACAAUUGCUCAGUGACUCAAGACUCAAAUGUAAUGAGGAAGGAAGGAAGAAUUGCAAGAAAGAAAGAUUUACACAGCCAUGGAUAAAGAUAAAGUUGAGCAGAACUAUCUGGUCUCAGUUCACAGGAAUUUCUUCAAACCUGUAAUUUGACUUUUACUUUGUGAGAAGACAUAUGUGCUGACUCUGACAUUUGAUGAAAGUCAGAGCAAAAGUAGUAAACUUCAAGGUGCUUUAUGUCAAAACUAUGAGUCUGAAUCACGACCUUACCAUCAUCAGUCUUUACAGGAGAAAGGAAGCAAAAUGAAACUUUGAUGUUGAUCUCUCAAGUGAUAACCCUGUACUCCUGUGUCUUCAGAUGUUGUCAUUUACACCAGUACCUUGCUGGCUUAGCCCAUAACUGAUUCUCUUUCAUAAUCCUUUUUCAGAGUUAUGGAUGACUAAACAAGACCAAGACAAUCAUGUACUGUAUCUUAUUUCAGAAUUAAACAACUGGAAGGAGUAUGGAGAAGAGCUUCUCUAACUAUACAAGGUCUACAAAGACUGCUUUACUGAAAGAUGUUAAAAAUGCAAUAUUAGCUCUUUAAAGGGAAGAUCAAAGAAUAUUUGAUUACAGCAUAUAAACUCCUUCUUGAAGAGACACUUGUGAUAUUGAAAUAAGAGCAACAAGAACUACAAGACCAGUGGCAAGAAAUUAAAUCCACACAUAUCUACAUUAGAUACAUAAACAGUUCUCUAGUCAUGGAAAUUAAAACAGCAAGGAUAAAAGUGGACCAGAGCUUUUACUCCAAGCUUGUAUACCUCAUGUAAUACAGCUUUCGAGCAGAAGCUGUCUGCAGUGUAAAGGUAGAUGAAUUAAUUUCUGUAACUGGUGGUAUGCAAGAGAUCAAACUAGCAGGUUUUUGUGAUAUUUUUGGGUCUUAACGUUUUUUUUUUUUUCUUGUCAGUGCUGACUUCGUCCUACCUCUAUGUUUUGGUAUAAGGUUUUGGAGUCCACCUAAAAUUUGGAAAUCUCUAGAAAUACCCAGACCAACUGUCAACAUUAAAAGACAGGUUAAAAGAUUACUUGAAAUGUUCUAGGGCUACUUUUUUUGUAAGUGGGUUCCACAGUUUCAGUUCAGUUAAAUUUUCUUUUACUUUACUGAUAGAUUGAUCAAACAUGCAAUUUUGUUGCUAUUGUUUUUUGUUUUAGUAAUUACAGCCUUCAGUUAUCAAUAUGAGGUAUGCAAGCAGAUGAAUGGGAAAUUAAGACUCUUCCUCUUCUAGUUUUUGGACCUAAAAGAGUUGAGAUUUGAAAGCCAGGGAUACAACUAGUUGGCAACUUUCUUUCAUAAAAAUAAUCUCUCCUUAAAGGAACAAUUUCUAUAGGAUCAAAUUAUUUCUGCAGAUGGUUAUAUAUAUAUAUAUAUAUAUAUUGGCUUACAUCAAAAAAUUCAAUACCAAGUUAUUUAGUUUGGCAUUUGUUUGACCUGAAAAAAAAAAAUCUUAAUUUGUUCAUAUGGCCAGAACCAGUUAGUAAUGAGCAAGUUCCAUAUUAUUCUUUGUUUUGCUGCAGUGGUGUCCCUAGGGAUUUUCUGUUUACUACCUCACUUCCAUUCUGUUCUGUGGGCCAGAUUGAUUAUCUAUAUCUAAUACAGCUAGAACUCCUCUGGAAGCAAGAAAUGUGGUGCAGCGUGGAAGUUCUGUGAUGUCUUAUGGAAAAGUCAACUCUGCCGAGGGCAUAGCUACAUGAGAAAAUGCAUAUAUUCCUAAAUCAGGUGGAAAAAGAAAUAGCAUGCCAAGGAACUUUCAAGAAUAUCUGUGUUCAGGUCUUUAUGAUUAGCUGAAGUAUUGCAGAGAGGAAAAAAUAGUGAUAAUCUUCUUCCCUCCACUACUACCACCUUUUCUUUUAUCUUUUCUAAAUUUUGUUUUCUUAUUUUAUCAGUCAUAUUGAACGUUGGUAAGAAUCUGUUUUAUCCAACCUUAGGCACUCAUUUUCAGGAAAUUAACUUGGCAUCAUAACAGCACUUAACAUCUGUGACUCUCAACUUAGAAAUAGUUGACUAAAUGGGCUAAGCAGUGUUUAAAUAUAUUGCCAAAUAAAUUAUUGAUUUUUU
Long non-coding RNA from Gallus gallus (chicken), 2533 nucleotides. The record is from Ensembl. NCBI's taxonomy places the organism in Eukaryota, Metazoa, Chordata, Aves, Galliformes, Phasianidae.